AACGGCCCACCAAAGCGACGAUCAGUAGCCGACCUGAGAGGGCGACCGGCCACAUUGGGACUGAGACACGGCCCAAACUCCUACGGGAGGCAGCAGUGGGGGAUAUUGCACAAUGGGCGAAAGCCUGAUGCAGCGACGCCGCGUGAGGGAAGACGGUCUUCGGAUUGUAAACUUCUGUUCUUAGUGAAGAUAGUGACGGUAGCUAAGGAGCAAGCCACGGCUAACUAC
This 228-nucleotide ribosomal RNA is filed under the name uncultured bacterium. Its description in RNAcentral is "partial 16S ribosomal RNA". It matches the Rfam family "Bacterial small subunit ribosomal RNA", at positions 259 to 504 of the family's 1533-position model. The record is from RNAcentral.